Molecule: non-coding RNA, 45 nt
Filed under: Schistosoma mansoni
Lineage: Eukaryota; Metazoa; Platyhelminthes; Trematoda; Strigeidida; Schistosomatidae
Source: RNAcentral
AUCCAACUGACGAGUCCUAAAUAGGACAAGACGAGCGUCCUGGUU